ACAAAAAGGUUUUCGUAGGUGACCUGCGGAGGUCAUUACCGAGAGAGGGAUAUACGCUUCCGGCCGAAUCCCGGGGGGCUGCGCCCCUCACCUCUUCAACCCUGUGUCUACCAACCGCUGUUGCUUCGGCGAGCGUCGGGGCGUCCGCGCCCCGGCCCCGGCCUCGGUCGGUGAGCUCUCGCCAGAGGCCCGUCUUUAUUCUGUUUUGCAGUGACGUCCGAGAAUACCCAUAUAAUCAAUCAAAACUUUCAACAACGGAUCUCUUGGUUCUGGCAUCGAUGAAGAACGCAGCGAAAUGCGAUAAGUAAUGUGAAUUGCAGAAUUCAGUGAAUCAUCGAAUCUUUGAACGCACAUUGCGCCCCUUGGUAUUCCGGGGGGCAUGCCUGUUCGAGCGUCAUUGCAACCCUCAAGCUUUGCUUGGUAUUGGGCGCUCGCCUCUCCGUCCGGGGGAGGCGUGCCCGCAAACUAGUGGCGGUCCAGGGAGACUUCAAGCGCAGUAGAAUCAUUCCGCUUUCGAGGUGUCGCCUGUGGCCGGCCGUAAAACCCCCAACUUUCAAUGAUUGACCUCGGAUCAGGUAGGGAUACCCGCUGAACUUAAGCAUAUCAAUAAGCGGAAGAACU
RNAcentral lists this ribosomal RNA (621 nucleotides) under Rusavskia elegans. RNAcentral describes it as "eukaryotic LSU rRNA". The stretch from base 244 to 397 matches the Rfam family "5.8S ribosomal RNA". Lineage: Eukaryota; Fungi; Ascomycota; Lecanoromycetes; Teloschistales; Teloschistaceae. The record is from RNAcentral.